This 406-nucleotide ribosomal RNA is filed under the name uncultured bacterium. RNAcentral's name for it is "partial 16S ribosomal RNA". It matches the Rfam family "Bacterial small subunit ribosomal RNA", at positions 30 to 526 of the family's 1533-position model. The record is from RNAcentral.
AUUGAACGCUGGCGGCAGGCCUAACACAUGCAAGUCGAACGAGUGGCGGACGGGUGAGUAAUGUCUGGGAAACUGCCUGAUGGAGGGGGAUAACUACUGGAAACGGUAGCUAAUACCGCCUACCAUCAUAUGUGCCCAGAUGGGAUUGGCUUGUUGGUGGGGUAACGGCUCACAAGGGCGACGAUCCCUAGCUGGUCUGAGAGGAUGACCAGCACAAUUGGAAUGGAGACACGGUCCAGACUCUGAGGGGAGGCGGCAGUGGGGAAUAUUGCACAAGGGGCGCAGUCCUGAUGAGGACAUGCGGGGUGUAUGAAGAGGGCCUUCGGUUUGUAAAGUACUUUCAGCGGGGAGGCGUUACCCGAAGAAGAAGCACCGGCUAACUCCGUGCCAGCAGCCGCGGUAAUUC